AUUGAACGCUGGCGGCAGGCCUAACACAUGCAAGUCGAGCGGUAGAGAGAAGCUUGCUUCUCUUGAGAGCGGCGGACGGGUGAGUAAUGCCUAGGAAUCUGCCUGGUAGUGGGGGAUAACGUUCGGAAACGGACGCUAGUACCGCAUACGUCCUACGGGAGAAAGCAGGGGACCUUCGGGCCUUGCGCUAUCAGAUGAGCCUAGGUCGGAUUAGCUAGUUGGUGGGGUAAUGGCUCACCAAGGCGACGAUCCGUAACUGGUCUGAGAGGAUGAUCAGUCACACUGGAACUGAGACACGGUCCAGACUCCUACGGGAGGCAGCAGUGGGGAAUAUUGGACAAUGGGCGAAAGCCUGAUCCAGCCAUGCCGCGUGUGUGAAGAAGGUCUUCGGAUUGUAAAGCACUUUAAGUUGGGAGGAAGGGCAGUAAAUUAAUACUUUGCUGUUUUGACGUUACCGACAGAAUAAGCACCGGCUAACUCUGU
Molecule: ribosomal RNA, 483 nt
Filed under: uncultured bacterium
Lineage: Bacteria
Description: partial 16S ribosomal RNA
Rfam family: Bacterial small subunit ribosomal RNA
Source: RNAcentral